CUGAUUUGCCUCAAGAGCACCACUUCAUUAAGAACAUUAUCUGAAGAUCUGAGGUCAGAAGAAGAAUACGUAAGAUCAUGCACUGAAGUUUUCACAGUUACAGC
This is a long non-coding RNA of Polypterus senegalus (gray bichir), 104 nucleotides long. RefSeq lists it as uncharacterized. The record is from RefSeq and is a predicted model, not a curated record. NCBI's taxonomy places the organism in Eukaryota, Metazoa, Chordata, Cladistia, Polypteriformes, Polypteridae. The transcript has 3 exons.